RNAcentral lists this ribosomal RNA (502 nucleotides) under uncultured bacterium. Its description in RNAcentral is "partial 16S ribosomal RNA". It matches the Rfam family "Bacterial small subunit ribosomal RNA", at positions 28 to 507 of the family's 1533-position model. The record is from RNAcentral.
GAUUAACGCUGGCGGCGUGCCUAACACAUGCAAGUCGAGCGGCAGCGCGUUUUACACUGAAUUCUGGAAGCUUCUAGUUGAAAGAGAAGAUUUAUUCAAGAAUUUUGUGUAAAAUGUCGGCGAGCGGCGGACGGCUGAGUAACGCGUGGGAACGUACCCCAAAGUGAGGGAUAACGCAGCGAAAGGUGUGCUAAUACCGCAUAUGGUCUUCGGAUUAAAGCCUUCGGGCGCUUUGGGAACGGCCUGCGUAAGAUUAGAUAGUUGGUGGGGUAAUGGCCUACCAAGUCGACGAUCUUUAACUGGUUUGAGAGGAUGAUCAGUCAGACUGGAACUGAGACACGGUCCAGACUCCUACGGGAGGCAGCAGUGAGGAAUCUUCCACGAUGGGCGAAAGCCUGAUGGAGCAACGCCGCGUGCAGGAUGAAGGCCUUCGGGUUGUAAACUGCUUUUAUAAGUGAGGAUUAUGACAGUAACUUAUGAAUAAGGAUCGGCUAACUACGUG